AUGGCGGGUGGGGCGAAGGCGUCUUGGAUGGUGGCGAUGAGCGUGGGCGCGGUGGAGGCGCUCAAGGACCAAGCUGGGCUCUGCCGCUGGAACUACGCCCUCAAAUCCAUACAUCGGGCAGCCAAGGCCAGCGCCAACGUCCGCGGCGGCGUCUCGCAGGGCGCCAGGCAGCUUCCGACCUCUGCUGCGGCGGUGGCCGAGAGGCAGCGAGCGGAGAAGGCCGAAGGCCGGGGAAUUCCCCCUUUUCAAAAAAAAAGCUGUUGGGGUCCAAAUUAG
Molecule: ribosomal RNA, 276 nt
Filed under: Triticum aestivum (bread wheat)
Lineage: Eukaryota; Viridiplantae; Streptophyta; Magnoliopsida; Poales; Poaceae
Description: partial small subunit ribosomal RNA
Source: RNAcentral